UAAUACCGGAGCCACGAGUGGUAACCACGUUUAUUGGGUCUAAAGCAUCCGUAGCCGGUUUAGUAAGUUUUUUGUAAAAUUGUUUGGCUUAACCUAACAACAGGCAAGAAAUACUACUGAACUUGAAACCGGGAGAGGGCAGAGGUAUUUUAGGGGGAGCGGUAAAAUGUUAUAAUCCCUAAAAGACCACCAAUAGCGAAGGCAUCUGUCCAGAACGGGUUUGACGGUGAGGGAUGAAGGCUAGGAGAACGAUAAGGAUUAGAUACCCUAGUAGCCCUAGCAGUAAACUCUGUGAGCUAUGUGUUGCAUGUCCUUCAUGGACAUGCAGUGUAGUAGAGAAGUCGUUAAGCUCACCACCUGGGAAGUACGGUCGCAAGGCUG
RNAcentral lists this ribosomal RNA (381 nucleotides) under uncultured archaeon. RNAcentral's name for it is "bacterial SSU rRNA". It matches the Rfam family "Archaeal small subunit ribosomal RNA", at positions 471 to 851 of the family's 1478-position model. The record is from RNAcentral.